CAACUUUCAGCAACGGAUCUCUUGGCUCUCGCAUCGAUGAAGAACGCAGCGAAUUGCGAUAAGUAAUGUGAAUUGCAGAUUUUCAGUGAAUCAUCGAAUCUUUGAACGCACCUUGCGCUCCUUGGUAUUCCGAG
Molecule: ribosomal RNA, 134 nt
Filed under: Paxillus involutus
Lineage: Eukaryota; Fungi; Basidiomycota; Agaricomycetes; Boletales; Paxillaceae
Description: partial 5.8S ribosomal RNA
Rfam family: 5.8S ribosomal RNA
About the family: 5.8S ribosomal RNA (5.8S rRNA) is a component of the large subunit of the eukaryotic ribosome.
Source: RNAcentral